This 591-nucleotide ribosomal RNA is filed under the name uncultured bacterium. RNAcentral describes it as "bacterial SSU rRNA". It matches the Rfam family "Bacterial small subunit ribosomal RNA", at positions 903 to 1498 of the family's 1533-position model. The record is from RNAcentral.
GCACGUGUAGCAGACCCGCACAAGCGGUGGAUGAUGUGGAUUAAUUCGAUGCAACGCGAAGAACCUUACCUGGUCUUGACAUGUACGGAAUCCUCCAGAGACGGAGGAGUGCCUUCGGGAGCCGUAACACAGGUGCUGCAUGGCUGUCGUCAGCUCGUGUCGUGAGAUGUUGGGUUAAGUCCCGCAACGAGCGCAACCCUUGUCAUUAGUUGCCAUCAUUUAGUUGGGCACUCUAAUGAGACUGCCGGUGACAAGCCGGAGGAAGGUGGGGAUGACGUCAAGUCCUCAUGGCCCUUAUGACCAGGGCUUCACACGUCAUACAAUGGUCGGUACAGAGGGUAGCCAAGCCGCGAGGUGGAGCCAAUCUCACAAAACCGAUCGUAGUCCGGAUUGCACUCUGCAACUCGAGUGCAUGAAGUCGGAAUCGCUAGUAAUCGCAGGUCAGCAUACUGCGGUGAAUACGUUCCCGGGUCUUGUACACACCGCCCGUCACACCAUGGGAGUGGGGGAUACCAGAAGUAGGUAGGGUAACCGCAAGGAGCCCGCUUACCACGGUAUGCUUCAUGACUGGGGUGAAGUCGUAACAAGGUA